AGCAGCCGCGGUAAUUCCAGCUCCAAUAGCGUAUAUUAAAGUUGUUGCAGUUAAAAAGCUCGUAGUUGAAUUUCGGGAUCAAUAUGUUGGUCGUUGCCUCGGUACGUACUAGCUUAUUGGUUUCUCCUUUCUGAAGAACCAUGAUGUCAUUUAUUUGGUGUCGUGGGGAAUCAGGACUGUUACUUUGAAAAAAUUAGAGUGUUUAAAGCAGGCUCACGCUUGAAUACAUUAGCAUGGAAUAAUGAAAUAGGACGUUUGAUUCUAUUUUGUUGGUUUCUAGGAUCGACGUAAUGAUUAAUAGGGAUAGUUGGGGGCAUUAGUAUUCAAUUGUCAGAGGUGAAAUUCUUGGAUUUAUUGAAGACUAACUACUGCGAAAGCAUUUGCCAAGGAUGUUUUCAUUAAUCAAGAACGAAAGUUAGGGGAUCGAAGACGAUCAGAUACCGUCGUAGU
This 450-nucleotide ribosomal RNA is filed under the name uncultured Glomeromycotina. RNAcentral describes it as "SSU rRNA". It matches the Rfam family "Eukaryotic small subunit ribosomal RNA", at positions 569 to 1024 of the family's 1831-position model. The record is from RNAcentral. Lineage: Eukaryota; Fungi; Glomeromycota.